This 66-nucleotide transfer RNA is filed under the name Curculio elephas. RNAcentral's name for it is "tRNA-Cys". It matches the Rfam family "tRNA". Rfam says of the family: Transfer RNA (tRNA) molecules are approximately 80 nucleotides in length. Lineage: Eukaryota; Metazoa; Arthropoda; Insecta; Coleoptera; Curculionidae. The record is from RNAcentral.
AGUUAAAUAGUCUAAUGAUUAGGAUUUUAAAUUGCAAAUUUAAAGGUAAAAAUAUUUUUUUAACUU